Molecule: ribosomal RNA, 539 nt
Filed under: uncultured Geobacteraceae bacterium
Lineage: Bacteria; Pseudomonadati; Thermodesulfobacteriota; Desulfuromonadia; Geobacterales; Geobacteraceae
Description: bacterial SSU rRNA
Rfam family: Bacterial small subunit ribosomal RNA
Source: RNAcentral
GAGUUUGAUCCUGGCUCAGAACGAACGCUGGCGGCGUGCUUAACACAUGCAAGUCGAACGUGAUCCGGAGCUUGCUCCGGUGAAAGUGGCGCACGGGUGAGUAACGCGUGGAUAAUCUGCCCUGGUAUCUGGGAUAACAUCUCGAAAGGGGUGCUAAUACCGGAUAAGCCUACGGACUCCUCGGAGUCUGCAGGAAAAGGUGGCCUCUAUUUAUAAGCUACCGUAUCAGGAUGAGUCCGCGUACCAUUAGCUAGUUGGUGGGGUAAUGGCCCACCAAGGCUACGAUGGUUAGCUGGUCUGAGAGGAUGAUCAGCCACACUGGAACUGAGACACGGUCCAGACUCCUACGGGAGGCAGUAGUGGGGAAUUUUGCGCAAUGGGGGAAACCCUGACGCAGCAACGUCGCGUGAGUGAUGAAGGCUUUCGGGUCGUAAAGCUCUGUCAGAGGGGAAGAAAUGAGACUGGCUAAUAUCCAGUUUUCUUGACGGUACCCUCAAAGGAAGCACCGGCUAACUCCGUGCCAGCAGCCGCGGUAAUAC